GGCUGCCUGCGCCGGACUGGAGAGCGCGGAGGGCCGACCUGACCCGCCGAAAGGGCCUGAGGCGAGGGGAGCCCGGGUCCCGGGGCCUUGGGGAAGGACCCGCAGCCGCACGCCGGCCCCAAGUGCAAAGCAUUGACACGACCCCGAGCGGAGAGGGGGCGCCCUCCUUCUCCCGCGCCCAGAGGCCCGGCCGCUCUGGCCCGAGCCCCAGCCUGGCCUCCGACCCAGCUCCGGGUCGUGGCGCCGCCUGGGGGUCCCUGCGCCCCGGAAAGAGACAGCAGGCACUGGAAAGCGAGGCCGGUGGGCGGGCGAGUCGGGAGGCUCGGGCGGCCGAGGUCCGGGAGCGGAUCCCAGGUGGCGGGAGCUGGUGAGUGGAGCCAUGGCCGAGCCCUGCUGGGGCCGGCGCGGGCGGGAGCGGGACGCGGCCUUGCGCUGGGGAAACGCGGGGACCCCCUACCCGCGCCCGCCUUCACCGGAAGACUCGGAAGGAACCUGGAGUUCUCCGCAGGCCCGGGCCCCGCCCUGAGCUUUCCAGCGGCCGGGAGGAGCGGAUCCUCGGGGCCAGGAAGGUGAGCGCACCUUUCGCUGAGCACAGGGCGGCACCGCGCGGGCGGACCCCGGAUUCUCCACCCGCGACCCAACGAAUUUUCGCCCUAUCCGGUACCGGAGACGAAAGUCUCCUUCUUCCGAAAUACCGGCUUCCUCUCUUCGCCCUGCCAACCACUUUUUUAGUUUCUUCUCAUCUCUCGGAAGCGCACGUCUCCUAAGUUAAGGAGUGCUGAGUAACGCGUGAGGGAGUUGGGGUGUCUGCGAGCACCUGUGAUUGAAGCCCCCUCUUCUGUGAUCAGUCUUCGUUUUCUGUCUUCCGGCAGCCUCAGUUUCCCCCCCAUGAAGUGAUGGUGUGUGUGUGUGUGUGUGUGUGUGUGUGUGUGUGUGUGUGUGUGUCGGGCCCCGUGUGGUGCCCUCUGUGCGCAGCGAGAGCUAUAACUCAAGGUGUGCACGGGGAGAGUGAAGCGACCACGCACCUGCUUCCAAUCGGGCUCGGGCGCGAACACUCAGGCUGAUUCCUGAAGGUCGUUUUCUGAAGGAAAAGACAGAGCAUGCACUAGCCACGGGUGACAUUCCCACCCGUACAACCGCGUGGUGGGCGCGUACAUCCAACAUUGACCCAUGCAGGCGCCCGCCCACUGCGCACACCGGUCGCAGGGCACUUCGUUGUUGAACGUUGGGAGCAGCGUUUGAAGGCCGGAUCUCUCCUGGCAGUGCGGAUUCGGGACCGGCGGAAGCAGUAUGGCCUCUGCGACCGUUAUCCCUACUUUUCGGGGCCGACCCCAGGGCCCUCACAACUCCUCAUCACCGCAUAUGUGAGCGCCGCCCCCACAGGGUUUUCUCCACGACCUCGUUCUUGGCUAGGUCGCACCUCUCUUAGUACCUCCUCUCUGGCCAGAACGAAUCUUUGACUCCGAGCUGCGCAGUCUACGCAGACGGGGCAGGAUCCACUGCAGUUUUCCACAGGCAAAUACCUGCUGGCUCCACCUUAGGCGAGAUGUGGCCUCUCGGGGAGGGACCCGUUGUGGACACGUUUGCGCAGCCGUUGCCACGCUGGCUCCCACCGGCCUCUUUCCAGAUCAUGAAGGUAUUUUUCCUUCAUCAAAUUGAGAGGAAGUCCGUAGUAAAGCUGCCCGUUGACCAGGUAGUGCCGAGAGAAUCGGUGCCCUGGCAGGAGGGACUGGCUUAUGCCACCCUGUGCAGGAUCGUCUUCUCAGCUUACAGAGCCUAGUGUGAUUCAACAACCCUCCAUCUCUGCCCCCAACAUGCCCAACUGAUCUGGUGGAGGGAACUGAAGAUGAAGGCCUCUCAGGCACCAUGGAUGGGAUGGGUGUGUGUGAAGGGGGCAGGGUCCCCAGGAGCUGCCCCAGGUCUGGCUGGACAGUUGCACGGGAAGUCCUGUUUGUGAACUCAACGUUUCCACGGCUUUUCCAUUAAACUUUACCCCAAAUCA
Molecule: long non-coding RNA, 2002 nt
Filed under: Homo sapiens (human)
Lineage: Eukaryota; Metazoa; Chordata; Mammalia; Primates; Hominidae
Description: HSALNT0390979
Source: RNAcentral